UUGUCUAUUUCUGAGCAGUGUACAUGUUUCAUCUCUGGCUAGGAACAAACCAAAAAGUUUUGAUGUGCCUAUCCUGAGUUUUUUGCUGUGCUUUGCAAGGAGGAACUGGGAAAAGCUUUUUUAGCCUCCACAACUUCUUGGGGGCAGGAAUUUUUUAUUUAUAAAAAUAAAUGUUUUUUAUUUGUCAGAUAAAAUAUUAGUAACCAAUAUUAAUUAGCAUGGCAGGACUAGGAGUCAAUGCUUGUCAGAUCUAGCAUUCCAAAUUAUUUUAUCAUCAUGCUACAGAAUUGGAGUUUGUAAAGGGUAUAGAUAUCAGGGAAAAAGAGCUCUAAUACAGACAUUCUGUCUACAUGUUUAUGCUUUGAGAGAACACUUAAAUUAUUGGUUUAGGAAACUGGCAAAUCUUUUGAGUCCAGCAGAGAGAGAGGUGACUUAGCUACAUUUGCAACCAGAACGGGAAGAAUCCGUGGAGAUUUUUCAUUAUCCCAUGAAUUAGUUUGGAGCUGCUUGUGACAGGUUUAUGUAUUAUUGUCUCAAGAGCCAAGAAAAAUGAACUGGUGAGAGAUAGACUGAGCCAGUGUUGCCCCAGCUCUUGGAGUCAAGUGGAUAUAUGAUGAAUUGAG
This is a long non-coding RNA of Chelonia mydas (Green sea turtle), 623 nucleotides long. RefSeq lists it as uncharacterized. The transcript has 3 exons. The record is from RefSeq and is a predicted model, not a curated record. NCBI's taxonomy places the organism in Eukaryota, Metazoa, Chordata, Testudines, Cheloniidae.